AUUGAACGCUGGCGGCAUGCCUUACACAUGCAAGUCGAACGGUAGAGGGGGCAACCCCUUGAGAGUGGCGAACGGGUGAGUAAUGCAUCGGAACGUGCCCAGUCGUGGGGGAUAGCCAGGGGAAACCCGGAUUAAUACCGCAUACGACCUGAGGGUGAAAGCGGGGGACCGGUAACGGCCUCGCGCGAUUGGAGCGGCCGAUGUCGGAUUAGCUAGUUGGUGGGGUAAAGGCCUACCAAGGCGACGAUCCGUAGCUGGUCUGAGAGGACGACCAGCCACACUGGGACAGAGACACGGCCCAGACUCCUACGGGAGGCAGCAGUGGGGAAUUUUGGACAAUGGGGGCAACCCUGAUCCAGCCAUGCCGCGUGCGGGAAGAAGGCCUUCGGGUUGUAAACCGCUUUUGUCAGGGAAGAAAUCCUUUGGACUAAUACCCUGGGGGGAUGACGGUACCUGAAGAAUAAGCACCGGCUAACUACGUGCCAGCCGCCGCGGUAA
This 498-nucleotide ribosomal RNA is filed under the name uncultured bacterium. Its description in RNAcentral is "partial 16S ribosomal RNA". It matches the Rfam family "Bacterial small subunit ribosomal RNA", at positions 29 to 523 of the family's 1533-position model. The record is from RNAcentral.